UUAAUAGCAGUACUACAUUUGACGUUAGCUGCAGAAGAAGCACCGGCUAACUCCGUGCCAGCAGCCGCGGUAAUACGGAGGGUGCGAGCGUUAAUCGGAAUUACUGGGACGUAAAGCGCAUGCAGGUGGUUUGUUAAAGUCAGAUGUAGAAAGGCCCGGGGCUACCAACCUACGGAAUUGCUAUUUAGAAACUGGACAAACUAGAGUACUGUAGAGGGGGUAGAAUUUCAGGUGUAGCGGUGAAAUGCGUAGAGAUCUGAAGGAAUACCGGUGGCGAAGGCGGCCCCCUGGACAGAUACUGACACUCAGAUGCGAAAGCGUGGGGAGCAAACAGGAUUAGAUACCCUGGAG
Molecule: ribosomal RNA, 351 nt
Filed under: uncultured bacterium
Lineage: Bacteria
Description: bacterial SSU rRNA
Rfam family: Bacterial small subunit ribosomal RNA
Source: RNAcentral